RNAcentral lists this ribosomal RNA (1136 nucleotides) under uncultured Neocallimastigales. RNAcentral's name for it is "partial large subunit ribosomal RNA". It matches the Rfam family "Eukaryotic large subunit ribosomal RNA", at positions 22 to 647 of the family's 3401-position model. Lineage: Eukaryota; Fungi; Neocallimastigomycota; Neocallimastigomycetes; Neocallimastigales. The record is from RNAcentral.
CUAUACAUGACUCUGCGCAUAUCAAUAAGCGGAGGAAAAGAAACUAACAAGGAUUCCCUUAGUAACGGCGAGUGAAGCGGGAAGAGCUCAAAUUUGAAAUCUUCAAGGUUCUACCUUGACGAAUUGUAGUUUAUAGAAGUGUUUUCUGUUAGUGGAGUGGCAAAAGUUCUUUGGAAUAGGACAUCAUAGAGGGUGAGAAUCCCGUAUUUGGUCAUUCCUCCUAGCGUUGUGAUACACUUUCAACGAGUCGGAUUGUUUGGGAAUGCAGUCCAAAAUGGGUGGUAAAUUUCAUCUAAAGCUAAAUAUUGGCGAGAGACCGAUAGCGAACAAGUACCGUGAGGGAAAGAUGAAAAGAACUUUGAAAAGAGAGUUAAACAGUACGUGAAAUUGUCAAAAGGGAAGCGUUUGACACCAGUGUUGUUUUUCCGAAAAUCAAUUAAGAAUGGCCGGAUUUUAAGUUUCAUGACCUUAAAAGCUUGUUUCUUAUUUUUCUUGUCUUUCUUAAUGCACUUUUCGGUUAACAAGUCAGCAUCAAUUUCUUUUGUUGUAAAAGGUUAAGAGGAGGGUGGCUUUACUUUCGGGUAAAGUGUUUAUAGCCUUUUAACUCUGCAAUCGGAGAGAUUGAGGUCUGCAGCGUAGAUCCUUCGGGGCUAGAUACGUUUGUGCUAAGUUAUAGCUUUUCAUAGACAACUUGUUGACUAUGUUUAGUCUUGUAGCUUACUCGCAUGCGCUAUUUUACCUACGCUUAGGAUGUUGACGAGACUGUCGAUCUCACCUAUACAUGACUCUGUGCAUAUCAAUAAGCGGAGGAAAAGGCGUUUACCUACGCUUAGGAUGUUGACGAGACUGUCGAUCUCAUCUAUACAUGACUCUGCGCAUAUCAAUAAGCGGAGGAAAAGGCUGCGGAACUGAACGACCGCUACCUACGCUUAGGAUGUUGACGAGACUGUCGAUCUCAUCUAUACAUGACUCUGCGCAUAUCAAUAAGCGGAGGAAAAGCGCAUUAAAGAUCCAGAUACCUACGCUUAGGAUGUUGACGAGACUGUCGAUCUCAUCUAUACAUGACUCUGUGCAUAUCAAUAAGCGGAGGAAAAGUCAAUACCUACGCUUAGGAUGUUGACGAGACUGUCGAUCUC